CUGCUGCGGCGGCUCAUCACCGCCAACCCCCUCCCUUUUCUUCCUUCGAUCUCUCCCUGUGUGUCUUCACGCACGGGGUGGCCCAUCACUUACACAACAAUCGCUAACGCAUGCGCAUCGAGGCAGAGAAGGAGGGAGCGCCAAGCAAAAAGAGACGUAGAAGUGGGAUCGGCUGCCGCGUCUUUGCCUGGCGUGGGUCUGGGCGUAUGCGCCGUGCGCGACAGAGGCUUGGGGUGCGGCGGUUCUCAUACUGGGCAAUCGCGACGUGGCGGCGGAAUACCGAGGCGGCGCGUCCUCUUCGAAGAUACGGUACCGCCGCUGAGGGCACUGCACCUUCGGCCUCGACAACGUUUCCCUCCGCGGCGCCCCCUUGCCUUCCGUCGUCGUCGUUGGCGACCUCUACGGCAGCACCCAAGAUCCUCCGCGAUGCCGCCGCACUUUUUGACCACUACUUCAACGACGUGUCGACCACGCUCGACAUCGCUCCCAUCAAGCGACCACAUGUCGUGGGGAGUCUCGUGUGCGCUUUGGAGGAGUAUCCAAUCAGCGUCGUCCUUGUGGAGCAGUGCUGCGGCACCUCCGCCGAGGCCGUGACCGAGAGUGUGCGGUGGAGGGCCAUCCAUAGCGCCCAGGGAAUGCGUGGGGCGUCGUGGAAGUCAACGAAGACGUUUCUUGUGCAUCACCUGUGCACUGCUCGGCCGAACGUGGUCGAGCUGCUGGAAGCGCUCGAUUUGACGCUGCGAGUGCGGCUGCUGCGGCAGGAUGACCUCCCUGCCACUACUACUGAGGAGCAGGAGGGGACGCGUCGCGACGAGCGCGGCGGCGUCUCGGAUGCGUCAUCACGAAAAACGAAGAAGUCGACUGGGCAGAGGUGGCGGUGCUCCGCUGAGCUGUACGAUACGUGGCACACACAGCCACGCUUUAAGCCUGUAGAGCCCGCAGCCGGUGGCGGCGAAGAGUCAGGGGGCGAUGAAGUGGGCGAGCUGCUGGAUGUGAUUGAGAGAGCUCUAACACGGGUGGAAGCGAAGCUGCGGCAGCUGCACAUGCGAUACGCGAGGGACAGCGUGGAGGAGGCUUGCAGGUUUGUCCAGGAAGCCGGCGGCGACUUCUGUGAGACGCAGCUCACAAUGCGUGGCCUGCGGGCGUGUAUGGAGAAGGGCGACCAUGCGCCACACAAUGCGACUCGGCACUGCCCGUGGUGGGGCGAGGUGCGAGCACGCCGUUGCUGGUCUCUCCAGUGCAACGCGGACGUGGACGUGAAGCACUCAAAGGCCGUGGGGUUUCACCUCUGCCUUGCCUUCACGCUGCACGCCAGCUGCAGCGGCGAGACCAACGGCAAAAGUGAUGUGGCGGCCGUACUGCAGUCGUCUGAAGCACAUCGUGGGCUUGCUCAGCUUGUGGAGAACAAGGCAGCGGAUGGGGUGUCCCGCCGCUACACGAACCCGGCGAGCUGUUCGGCUCUCCUACAAGGCCUGUACGCGGUAUCCACCCUUUCACGCAUGCUGGCAAGUGGGCGCUUGUCCUCCGUUAAAGACUGGACGUGUGGACCAAUGGACUUGGCGAGCCACCUCGUGAGCGCGGCGGCCGUGCUUUCUCCGACGGUCGCCUACGACUGGAUUGGCGCCACUCGAGGCGGAAGCGAUUCACUUGCGCAAGGAACGCCAUGUAGGGCACAGGAGACCGUGCCCACUGCCGCGGCUGCGGGGCUACCGGCUUGCGUUCGCUGGAGCACCUUUGUGGGGCGGGCCAGCUUAGACGACUUUGUCGUCCAUCUCCGUGGGACGAUUGGCUCACGAGGGCAGAGCGCUGCGAGAGAUGCCUAUGCUUUGCCGCCGCUGUGGCCACAGCUGGGUCUUCUUUACCCCGGCACACCCGAAGACCGAUGCGCCGCCUUGCGCGAGCUUCUACGGCACGAGCAUGGUCUGCGGGGGCUGCCUCGGGUCUCGGUAACCGUAUGCACCACGCCGCUCUUCUCGCUCGAGUACGACGCGGAGCUCAUAGUAAAGGACAGGGAUGCCAACUCGAAGCGAGUUUCACAUGACACGGCAGGCGACCUCACCAGCAUUCAAAUCUUGUGCGGUGAUUGCUACGCGGACGUCGCUGCUGCUGCGCAGGUACACACGCCAUGGGCAGCUCCACUCUGCAAAGCCGCUCCAGCACCUUUGCCGGCGGCCACCGCGGUAGCCCAGCGCGGCAAGGGCGAUCAGAUGGACAAGUGCUCUGUGUGCGCCGACACGGACAAUCGAACCCACGACGCCGCCAGCCCCGCAUUCGAUGCGCUGCAGUGCAUCUCGGUGGAUGUGCUCUCCAUCAGUGACUCCAUGUCGGCGAUGGGGUUCACCUCUGCGACAUGGACCGCCAGCACAGCAAAGCUCGUGGCAGAGCGCGGCGCCAACGCCGCUCCUGCUGUGUUCGAAGGCGCGAACACACUCUCCGGCUACAGGCGAAUUCUCCGCUUCUGUGCGAAACGGCCGGUGUACAGGACGGCGUACCUGCCACGGCGCAGCUCGCUACAGGAGGCGCUUCAGUGUCUUCUCGUCACCAUGGCAGCCAGCGGGUCCAACGCUAACGACGACCUUGGCCGCUGCAAGCGAAGGGGGGACGGGUGGCCAGGUGCGCACACGGAGGAAGCAGCGAUUCUGCGCGAGCAGCAGACGCGAACCGGUCAUACACACCUCGGGCGUUGCGGCACACUGAUGCUCAUUUUCCCCUUCAACGCCGGGGCCGCUGCUCUGCAGGCGCAAACAAGCGCCGCUGCCAAGAAAAUGCAACAGGCUCUCUUCUCAGCCGUGCAGGAGCACUGCCGUGAUUCGGCGCAGCUCUCUGCGUGGAUGCCUGCUCACACCUCAUCCACGGAAGCGACCUUCUUCCACUCCUGGCCUCUGACGGCGCAGUGGCUGGUGCCUCACGGCAGCCCACUUCAUGUGUCGCUGACGCCGGUGGUCUGCGAGGAAGCAGCGGCACCGCGGCGUCGCCAUGACGAAAAAGUGGCAGAGGACUCUUCGGGACAUGGCGCCGCCCAGUAUGAUCUGCACCUAUCCACCACGGCUUCCCCGUCAGCGUCGUCGGCGCCGGUGUGCAGAAGAACGGAGCCAUGCUCGCCAUCGUCGGCCACGGCUGUGGUGACGCGGCUCCCUGCCAGUGCGGCGUGGCUUUCAACGGCGCACACUGCGAUGAGGAGGGCCUUGAUGCUCUCACGCCCUGACCUGUUUGCGUAUCCUGGUCAUCGUGUCCCCGCAUCGGCUGCGCUUGGCGGGGAGGAGGGUAGCGACGACACGGCAGGUGUGCACGGGCUGCUUGUGCGCUGUGCGACCUUCACGCAGGUGGUCGAAGCACUUCUCUUCACAACCACCUUUGGUGAGCCGGACGCGUUGGACACUGAGGACGUUCUAAACGAGCUCUUUGGCCACAACGUGUACACGAAGAAACGCGGCGCUGUGACGGAGUUGUGGCUCAUCGUCGCUCCACGCAUGUCACCUGUACGCCUCUGCACUGUGAACAUGAAUGAGGGCAAUCUCGGCGGAUCCUCAGAGAGAAAGUGGUCCAUGCUGUUGCAGUGCGUAAUGGACGCAUCCUGCCCCGAAGCGAGGGCGACCGUGGAAGCAAUGCGGCACCUGCGAAGGCGUGUCGCGGCGCUGGCCACCGAGAAUGACAGUGGUCGUCCGCCGCCGCAAUGCCAACUCGCGUGCGAGUGGGUCCUCAGGCCUGCGGCUGCGAGCGAAACGGAGCCAGUGGAGUGGGUUCAGGUGUUUGUGGCAGAGCUGGUGCGCGGCUCACCUGUGUCGUCGACGUCGGCUUCUGGCCCUCGGUGGUCAAAAAUAUCCAUGAGGCGGCAACGGCGAGGGGACGUCACGGCGCAGUCCGACGACGGUGCGACCCCCGCGAAGGUGCCGACGAGUGUGAUGCAUCGCGAGGAAGGCCCAGACAGCUUUGGUGUCUUGUGGAGGAUGCUGCACUCUCUUGCCCUGCAACCCGCAGAGACAGCCAGCUUGCCCACCACUGCGUCCGGACAAGAUUUGUCCAGUGCGCCCAUUCCCUCUCCUGGUGGGUUCAUCAAGGCUGCCCAAAGGGCACUCGCGCGUCAGCGCGGUGUCGCACGCGUGACUCACCGCUACGACAAGGGUCUAGGAGGCGUUGUUGUCGAGGGAUGGGGACGACUGCGGCAAAACGGAAGCGAGGCGCCAUGCGAAACUCCGAUAACACUCGUGGCUGAGCCGAUGCCGCUGCACUGUGUCCCCAUGCACGUCAUGCAACUUUAUCAUCGCCUUCUCGUAGAGACGCACGAGCCUCCCCGUAUCCAGGAGGCAGUGUGGGAGCGGCUGGGGGCCGAGUGCGAGAAGACCUCGACAGAGACGAUCGUGCAGUCUCUAUGCGAGAGUCUGGGCUGCACGCCUGCCGAUCUUCAGAGCGUGGAGGCGCGGUACAUGAAAGUGUGGACGGCCCGCCUCGAGCUCCCUCUUCGCGUUUUCGGGUUCUCUGCUCCCGUGACGUUGUCACCUCCUUCAUCCCCGUCUUCGCAAAGUCCCUGCUGCGACGCCCCGCACGCGCUGUACGUGUACUGCCAGCGCUCUUCAAAGAGGCAAGCGAUACGGAGUGUGUACACUCUCCUCUACCAAUGGACUCGCUAUCCACAGAUGGUGGCGCCGGCCAACGGCGCACAGUUUCGCGUUGCGAGCAACAAGAGUUCCGUGUGGCCCAGCUGGAGUGCCGACUCUCCAUCGUCGCCGUCGGCGCCAUUACCGUGUCCAGCGACCACUGCCACAGCCGAACCUAGGCUGCCAAUGAUGACGGAGUCGGCAGCGUGGGCAACAGAGGUUUGCGUCACACCGACGGCUCCGCGUGCGCCUCAGACGCUGCGCUCCAUCCUCGACGCGGCCCACGCGCGCAUGGAAACGUCUCUCGGCGCACUCGUGGGCUGCAGGGCCGGCCGCGUGACGCUGCGGCUCAGUCAGACGUUUGGGCUGCAGCUGAUGUACAGCGUGGGUGCGGCGGGGGCGCAGGCGGAAGCCCCCGAGACGGACUCUGUCCAGCUCCUGCGUGAGGCGUGGGUGCCGCUUGUGUGGGCACCAGCGCAGAUUCUCAGCGCCGAGGUGUCGGUACUGCAGCGCCUCCUCACGCACUCGACCACCACCGUGGGCGGCGGCGACACCGAAGAUAUGCGAAGCGUGCUGCGAGAGCUCGUUUUCACCAAUGGCCGAGCGCAGCGAGCGGCAUUGCAGAGCGGGCGUGAUGCACGCGCGAAGGAGUUUUGCGUCUCGUUUUUCCGUCGCUACUUUGGCUGGCGCGUGUGCGAACGCGACGACGUCGAAGACAUCUCCGUCUGUGACGAUCAUGGCACCGUCGUGAUAGUGCAGAAAGCGGAACAGGCACCGUUGCCCCAUGGCGGGCAGCACUGCACUCCAAAUCGAUUCGCCUCCUCGCGCCGCAGAGGCGGGGCGCCGCACGGUGAGCACAGAAACGCGACGGCUACUCUCCAGUUGACGCAAAUCGUGCCUGGCGCCGCAACUUCCGUCCGGCUGGGGAGGAUACUUGUUGAGGUGACGGGUGCGACCCCCCAAGCCGCCUUGGACGCCCUCUGGGAGCCGUGCACCGCACAGAUCGAAUCCGUGUUCGGCGUGUCGUGCAGUAUGCCGUCACGCGAGGCGGACGAUCAAAUUUUGCUCUUUAUGCAGUCGCAGCUGGAGUAACCCUCUGCCAACUCGCGCAUGACUCGCAGAGGGGGAGGAGGCAGGACAGGCAAUGACACGAACGCACAGGUGCGCUCGUGAGCUCGCGUUCAUGAUGCUCACCACGACACUGGACCGAGGAGGCAGAGCGUGUGCGUGUGCAACGGAGAAUCACAUAGUCCCCAGCCAGGACGCGGGGACAGGCAACGCGACAGAGGAGGCGGGCAUGGAUGCCGUGCUUGGGCUUGGCCGGAUCUCCGUUUGCCCCACGCGUACAUGCGCCCAUGUGUGUGUGCGCGCAUCUGUCUUAUCCUUGACCCAUCUUCUUCGUUUCAAUCGCCGUGG
RNAcentral lists this unclassified non-coding RNA (6011 nucleotides) under Leishmania donovani. Its description in RNAcentral is "gene:LdHU3.26.0460(CDS-product:hypothetical_prote in_conserved)". Lineage: Eukaryota; Euglenozoa; Kinetoplastea; Trypanosomatida; Trypanosomatidae. The record is from RNAcentral.